This 6214-nucleotide long non-coding RNA is filed under the name Gossypium barbadense (sea-island cotton). RNAcentral describes it as "long non-coding RNA (GBAR_LNC022698)". Lineage: Eukaryota; Viridiplantae; Streptophyta; Magnoliopsida; Malvales; Malvaceae. The record is from RNAcentral.
UUGUCCCAUUGUACGAAAGAAUGGCAUGUACUUUCUUGGUGCUGUAGCCACAGAUAUCAGGUCCAAACAUGAUGCUGCAACCAAUCAACAUAACAAAAAACAUAUGUAAAUUGAACAAUAAUAUUGUUGAGGGUCAGACCCCAACACAUCCAGUAUUGUCCCCGACUAUACUGAAAGCUCGAGUGAGUUCAAAGAGUGAUUUUGCUGAAAAUCCAAGUGCCUAAAGAGGCAACAGGUUCACAGAGUGGGAGCGCCCAAUAUUUGAUGUGUUGGAGGUCCGGCCCACAAUAAAUAUCUAUUAGAAAUGUGAAUAGGUUGGAUCAAAGGGCAUGCGCCAACCUAUACGGGGUGUCACCGCCAAAUUUCUUCUGGUCAACAUCAGCACUGAGCAACUUCAUGUAGCCACCACCACAGUCAAGCUUCUGCUCGUGCUUCACAGAAAAUUGGAAGACUAGAGUCUUGCCCUUGUUGUUAACUUCUGGGAACUCAGCAGAAAUAGCAUAAAACCUGUAGUCUUCACUAGUUUGAAUACCUGUGCAAAAUGCAGAGCCAUAGGUAACUAACUUGAAACAUAGCCUUUAUCUAUACCAAGUUAUGAGUAAUUCCAGAAGGUUACCUUUGUCAUUAGGAUCUCCAUUCCAUUUUCCAGAAGUGUAAUUCCAUUCUCCAGCCAUGUUCUCAUCUUUCUUCCAGUCAGAUUUUACCCAACGACUUUCCCAUCCAUCUAAAGUUUCAGGACAAUAAAAAAGCAAAAUCGGCCAAAAGAAGUACAAUUAAGCUUUUUGGAAUAAAUGAAACCUAAAAAAAGUACAAUUAAAGCAAAAAUAGCUUCCUUGAAAUAAGUUCUCACUCAUUUGUUAAAAAGAGUACAGAAUCUAAGGAAUGCAACAAGAAAUAGUACGCUAAACAUGUACAAUUUCUGGUCUGCUCUGAUAUCUAUCCAUGCAGCGGAUUUUUUCCCUCUCACAUUUCUCAAAGUUAAAAAGUUUUCAUCCCUUAUCGCUGUCUUACAUAAACAAAUACUUGACUCACAAUUACUAAUAAAAUGAAGGAAUAAAAUAAAUAAUAAAUAAACGCAGAACAAUAUAUUAAUCACCAUUUCUUUCUAUCAUCCUCUACAGUUACAGUCUUACAGAUCAAACUGAAACAUUAGUGACCGUAACAUUCACUGUCAUUUCUUAUCGCAAUUAAACUACAUUUCUAAAGCUAAUUUUAUUCUGAAAAAAAAAUUAGAACUGUAUUAGGAAGUCAGAUCAUCUGCUGAUCUACUCGAAUUAAUUGCAUUUCUAAACUAACUAAGUAUUGAGGAAGGAAACAAAUAAAAACAACCAGAUUGGCAACAUAAAACAUAUAAAUCUUUUAUCCGUACAAAUUAGAUCAAAUUGGAAGCUAAAACAUCUAAAAUAACAUAUACAAAUGACAAAAAGCAAGUCGAUCUAAAGGUAAUCGAAAACCGAGAAAUGAGCAAAGAAAAAAGAUUACCUUCGAAGCGUUCUUCGAAGAAAACUUCAGCAGAGGCGAUGGCGACGAGAGAGAGGAGAAUAAGAGAGACGAAAUUAGGGAACCGUUUGUGACUCGCCAUGGUUGUACUCAUCACCGAGAAAAAAGAAUAAGUAGAGCUGCGGACCGAGGGCGAGGCCGAUUCUGGGUUCCUCUACAUGUUCGUUGAAUUCACUGCCUUUUGCGGUCCCGUUAAAAAUGAGGUAUUUGCUAAAUCUGACGUGGGCCAAUGAUUGGUGGACAUGUCAUUCAUUAUUAGGUUGACGUGGCAUACAACUAUUGGAAAAAAAGUUCGGCAUGACAUGUAGGAAAGUUUCUGCUUGUUUGGCUAGAAGUUUAAGGAGUAAUGUUCUAGAAUUUCAAUUUAUUUGCAGUUAUUUUGCUCGUGUAGUAGUAUCCGUUUACAAACGCAAAUGUUAAAUAGGCAACAAUUUCAAUGUUUUAUCAGCGAUAUAUAUUGAUUUUAAAAUAUACUUCUUCCUUAUUAAAAAAAAUAAGUUUAUUCAUAGGUCGAGUCUAAACAUUAUAUUAACAUAUUUUAUAUUUACUUAAGGCUUGACCCGAAAUAUAGAUUUAAAAUUUUGCCCAAACUCAGUCAUUUUAUAAAAGGCUAAUCUAAGCUCGUUUCAGACCCCACUCAUUUUAUUUUUUAAUUUUUUUAAAAAUAUUUAUAUUAUUUUAAUUUAAUCUUUAAUAAUUUAAUAUUUUUUUAUUUAUUAAAAUUUUUUAUUAGUCAUCUUAACAUUUUUCUAAUGUCUACAUUAGAUUAGUAUUAUAUACUUAGUAUAGAUUUAUUUUUUGUGUUAUAAAUUGCAUAAUACAUAAAAAUAUUAUAAAUCCAAAAAUGAUCGACUUGGGCCUUGAAUUUUUAAACCCAAGCCCGAUCCAUAUUUUAAGCGGGCCUAAAUUGAUUGCCCAAAUCCAUUUUUCGGACAUAAUGUUUUUGCUCAAACCUACUCAGAUUUUGGGCGAAUUUUUGAGUCUGGGUGGGUAGCCUGAUCGAUGAACAGGACUAUUUUAAAAUAAAACAAAAUAAUUAUUCAAAAUAAAAUAAAACAAAACACUCAUAAAUACCCUUAAGUAUUUGUCAAUUUUAAAUUUUGACAGAUUAGUCCAUUUAAAAAAAAGUGUAAUUAAGUUUUUUUUUCCUUUAUCAAAUGAUAGUGUUAAUUAUUUCCAUUAAUACAUGACAUGUAUAUGUUAAUUAUUUCCAUUAAUACAUGACAUGUAUAUGUUAUAAACUAGAGGAGAAUUUAUGAUAGAUAAAGAAUUGAUAGAGAAAAUCCGGUACAUUAAAAUUGAAAUAAUAAUCGUUUUACAUAUAGUUUUACAUAAUAAACCAAGCUAAAAUUCAGAUGUAAUUUGUUGUUUAAAUACUUGUGAACUUAUUAAGUAGUUGUAAUGCUUACUUCAUUGUUUCCCUUUCUCUGUAGAUGGCCAACUUACGGAACGUGUCAAGCGAAUCGUACGGAGUUCACAUUAUCCCACCUAUUGAAUUGGUAGUUUUUGAUAGUUUUAAGUUUAGAAUUGUGACAUGCAUAUAGGUGUCUUGACGUGUACAAGACUUGUGAUGUGUUUGUAGUAAUGAAUUUGAUAUAAAUCUAUAUGUGAGCUACUUGUUGAUUUUACAUGUGAUUUAAAGAUGCAUGAAUUGCCAAUUGUGAUGCCUAGUUGAAUGAAUAUCUUGAUUAGUAUAUUUGUUUGACAUGGUUGAAACAUAUGUGAUGAAUGGUUAAUGGUUGAAUUUGAGGAAGUUAAUGUUUAUAUGUAUGUAAGUUGGUAUGGUAAGAGCUUAUACAUGUGACACUUAACUGACUUAUAACUUGGUGAAUUGAUGUGGUAAUGUUGGUUGAUUGUUGAAAUGGCAUGAUUGUAUAAGUUGAAUAUGUCAUGGUAUAGAAUUAGAUGAUAUUGAAUCGCUUAUAGGCAUGUUGGCAUAAUUUGAGCUUCAAUGGAUGAAAUUGGUAUGUUUUGUUAAGAAAUGGUGUCAAUUUGUGGUAUAUUGGGUUGGUUGAUUUUGAGAAUGUUUAAAUGGAUGUCUUGGUAUAUGUUUUGGGUUGUUUUUGUACAGGCUUAAGUAUGCACCAAAUAGGUUAUUGGUUUGGUUUGACAUGAAAUAGGUAUCAAAAUGACCAAAAUUUACCAAAAAUAGGAUCCUUGUCACGAUGUGGUAUAUCCCUCGUCACAAUGUCGGCCAACAAUUUGUAAUGUCGCAACGUCGUGUGGUUCGAUGUUGUAAUGUGACAAACUGUUUGGUGACGUCACGAUGUGGAGAUAGUGACAUCACAACGUUGAGCUCAAAUUUUCAAAACCUUACAAUUUGAUCCUAAUUCGUGCUUGGGUCAUUAAAAGAGCUUCUGUAAACUCGAUUAAUGUUCGAAUUUAAUUAUGUAUAUUAAUUUCUAGAUGCUAUUGUAUCACCUUUUCUUUUUAGAAUUUUUUUCAGUGAAGUUGUAUUUCUUUCGAUCCAAAAAAUUAAUAUUAAUAAUCAGAAAUUAAAACUGAUUUAUUAAAAAAGGCAAAGAUUGAAUAUCUGCAAUUUGUAAAAUUCAAAAUUGAAAUCCAAUAUAUAAUCUAUUUUAAAAUCCAAAUUUAUUAAUUAUCUAAAAUCACCUGUUAUAGGAUUGGUGAAUGUGUUGUGAUCACAUUUUAGUUUACACCAUUAUUGUGCAAGUUCACUAAUUAUGCAAUGGUAUGACCGUCAAACAAUCUUUCGGAACUUGCAAUUGAUAAACCGGGGAACUUGAAUAGUAAAAAUAUCUAGUCAUCAUAAAAAAGAAAAAGAGCAUGCCUUUGUUCUGACAGUUAAAAUCAUAUUAAGAAAGCAUCAGUGAAAGUUCUUUUGCCUGAAGCAUUCAAUUCCUUUUUCCUCUAACAGGAAACUCCUAAAACUAGAACUCUUUUUUAAAUAAAGGGUAGGAAAAAAUUUAGGCGUUUUUAUCUCCAAACCGAAUUGUCAGCGAGACAUUGCAGUGCUUAGAGCUCAUCCUGCAUACACAGAGCACAUUCAUAGAUCAAUUAAACAUAAUAAAACUGAUUAGUGAAGUCAUGACAUCAAAAUAACUACUUACAUGUGCAUCUUCCUUGUCCUCAUCGUCUGAUUUGGUAUCGGAAUCAGACUCGUGCCCUUCAGUAUCAUCGGCAUCAUCUUCAUCCUCAGCCUGGAAAAACACACGAAACAUAAUCAAAACCAGAACAAUGAUGAACAGACGGAUCACAUUUUUAAGAAGGCAUGUUUCAUGCUUACAUCGGAAUCAACUGGGUCAUCCUUUGAUUCCUGAACAUCAAUGUUUUCAUUAGUUAGAAAGGAAAUGCAAUUGAACUAGAAAUAAGACAGAAAUAAGAUGGCUUCUAGUCAUGAAAAUACCUCCUCCUCUCUCUUUUUCUCCGCCUCCUCAAAUGAUGCCUUUUCAGCCUGCAAAAAUAGCCAGUAACGUCAGUCAAAUAUGACAAACAGAGCUAUAAGAAAGAGAAAAAAAAAACAAAGAUGCACAUACAUCCUUCUGCUUGCCCCAUGUUUCUUCAGCUAGUUUCUUGGCAUACUCUACAUCAUCAGCAACUAAGAUGUUAUCAAACAUUGUUCCCGAUUUCACCUGAAAAAACACAGACAUUUGUCUCGUUAUAGAGCUCUAAAAUGGUCCAGAAAGAUAACGGGCUAGGAUUUAGGCUAAAGAGUACCUGCCACAAUUCAAUACCGACAUACUUCAAGGUGGGGAAAACAUAGAGAUCUGGAUCAUCCUUGAAAUCUGAGGGUCAUAGAAAAGCACAGAAUUACAUGAAUUAAGAUAAAACUUCUUGUUGUUCAUAUAAAAAGAAAAAAAGGCACAACAGAAAUGAGCUAGCAAAAAACCUGGGUUGUCAAUCAUUGGUGCCUUCCACUUGCCCUUGUAGUUGGGGUUCUUGAUUUUCUGCAAAAUGAGGAAAAAGAGUUCCAAGUUACUAACUAAAAAAUCAUGAUAAAUGCAGCAAUUAGGUAAGGAUAUCACAAACCUUUGGCUUCCAUUGGCCCUUGUACUCCGGGUUGGGAAUUGUUGAGGGUGUCCAUUCACCAUCUUCUUCAUCAUCCCAAUCUUCAGGCUGGGUAAAUGAUUUUAAUCAAUACUCUUUAGCUCAAACAAGGCAUACUAUUUCAUGAUAAAAUAAUCCAAAAAGUAAUAAAUGACUACCUUCUUAGCAUCGGGAUCAGGAAUCUCUUUUGGAAUGUCAUCAUAACCCUAUCGUAUGUAAAAAAACUAGAAGUUAGCUUGCUCAUGCAUCUUUAGGCGCAGUAUAUGCAAUGUAGGAUAAGAGAAUGUUAUUACCUCUGGCUUUUUGUCUUCAGGAUCAGGGAUGUAUUCCUUGUCAUCCCAAUCUUCAGGCUGCCCAUCGUGCAAAAUACUUAAGUUGCGUAUUCAUAAUUCAUAUGAGAAAAAAGUAAACCAAAAAAUAUAUCAAUUGUUAUAGGGUGCGACCAAUUACCUUCUUGGCCUCAGGAUCCUUGAUCUUCUUUGGUGGGAGGAGAUCCCAAUCAGUGUAUAGGCUACCAGUUUGUUUCUCAACAUUAUCAAUAAGGAUGCUGUAGGUAGCAUCUGGACGGAGAAUGAAUGUAUAAACAUGAGUGAGUUGGUCAGUCUCGCAAGGAACUUCCUUUUUGAUCAAGUGAUUUGUCCCAUUGUAUGUAAGAAUGGCAUGUACUUUCUUGGUGCUGUAGCCGCAAAUAUCAGGGCCAAACAUG